GUAGGCGGUUAGUUAAGUGAAUAGUGAAACCUGGUGGCUCAACCAUACAGACUAUUAUUCAAACUGGCUAACUCGAGAAUGGUAGAGGUCACUGGAAUUUCUUGUGUAGGAGUGAAAUCCGCAGAUAUAAGAAGGAACACCAAUGGCGUAGGCAGGUGACUGGACCAUUUCUGACGCUAAGGCACGAAAGCGUGGGGAGCGAACCGGAUUAGAUACCCGGGUAGUCCACGCUGUAAACGAUGGAUACUAGCUGUGGGGGGUAUCGACCCCUUCCGUAGCGAAGCUAACGCGUUAAGUAUCCCGCCUGUGGAGUACGGCCGCAAGGCUAAAACAUAAAGGAAUUGACGGGGACCCGCACAAGCGGUGGAUCGUGUUCUUUAAUUCGAUGAUAAACGGAGAACCUUACCAGGACUUGACAUCCUUGGGAUUUCUGCGAAAGCAGUUAGUGCCUUUUGGAACCAAGUGACAGGUGAUGCAUGGCCGUCGUCAGCUCGUGUCGUGAGAUGUUUGGUUAAGUCCAUCAACGAGCGCAACCCUUAUAUUUAGUUGAAUUUUUCUAAAUAGACUGCCCCGGUAACGGGGAGGAAGGGGGGGNAUGAUGUCNNGUCAGUNUUUCCCUUACNUCCUGGGCUANAAACACGAUACANUGGCUAGUACAAUGCGCA
RNAcentral lists this ribosomal RNA (665 nucleotides) under uncultured Candidatus Saccharibacteria bacterium. Its description in RNAcentral is "bacterial SSU rRNA". It matches the Rfam family "Bacterial small subunit ribosomal RNA", at positions 571 to 1248 of the family's 1533-position model. The record is from RNAcentral. Lineage: Bacteria; Candidatus Saccharimonadota.